This is a long non-coding RNA of Cyprinus carpio (common carp), 1245 nucleotides long. The record is from Ensembl. Lineage: Eukaryota; Metazoa; Chordata; Actinopteri; Cypriniformes; Cyprinidae.
AUGAAAGAGCCUGUAGUGAUCGCAUUAUACUCUGGAGAAAAAAAACCUUCAUCAGCAAAAGAAUUCCUCGAAGACUUCACCAAAGAAUUAGUUCAUCUGGAAAAGGGUUUCUGUUUCGAGGGAAAGACUUUGACCCUUAAACUUGAUACAGUAAUUUGUGACACACCGGCAAAUGCAUUUGUGAAACACACCAAAAGUCACAAUGCCUACCAUGCCUGCGAUAAAUGCACAAACCCUGGUAGACAUGAACAAAGCCGAAUGAGUUUUCCAUGUAAAGAUUAUGCACUAAGGACGGAUGAGUCUUUCAAUGACAGGUUAGAUGAGAUACAUCACCAUGAAGGGCCACAUGCAUCUGAGGGUACUGGGGUUGGCAUGGUGUCACAGUUUCCCCUAGAUUACAUGCACCUUGUGUGCUUAGGUAUCGUUAGGCGCUUGCUCAAUAUGUGGCUUCGUGGUCCUCUGACUGUCCGUGUCCCUGCAACUAUAGUUGAACAAAUGUCCGUUAAAUUGGUAUCCAUGAGGCCUUAUAUUCCGGUGGAGUUUGCCAGAAAGCCGCGAUCUCUUAGAGAAUUGGAUCGCUGGAAGGCUACUGAGCUAAGGCAGUUUCUUUUGUACACUGGACCUGUAAUGCUGGCCAGUUUUCUGGACAAAGACCUGUAUCAGAAUUUUAUGCUUCUCUUCUCUGGUAUCUCCAUCUUAGCAAGCCCAACAUUUUCCUACCUCACUGAUUAUGCUGACACUUUACUGAAGUCGUUUGUGCAGCACUUUGCUACACUUUAUGGGAGACACAACGUUGUGUAUAAUGUACACUGCAUAACCCAUCUGGCAGGUGAAGUUCAGCAGCAUGGUCACCUUGACUCCUUCUCUGCCUUCCCAUAUGAAAAUUAUCUGCAGAAGAUAAAAAAACUGGUUAGAAAACCAGAAUAUCCUUUAGCACAGAUCAUUUGUCGUCUGUCAGAAGUAAAAAUUCGGGAGGUCACAUUACCUGGCAGCACUUUAAGACGGCAGCAUUUUGUGGGCCCUAUUGUUGGGGGGAUGGCCAUCAAGGCACAGUAUGGCGAGAUGUCCACUGAGAAGUGGACUCUCAGAACAUCGACUGGUGAUAACAUCUUCAGGCUUGGAAAUUACAUUGUCUGCAUCCAAAAUAUUGUGGAAUGCAUUGGGGGGGGGGCAUUUAUGCAAUAUAUAAGGAAUAUAGAAGGAAGUCAUUGUUCUUUAGCUACCCAUUUAGCUUGGAUACACUGA